This 474-nucleotide ribosomal RNA is filed under the name uncultured bacterium. Its description in RNAcentral is "bacterial SSU rRNA". It matches the Rfam family "Bacterial small subunit ribosomal RNA", at positions 335 to 802 of the family's 1533-position model. The record is from RNAcentral.
ACUCCUACGGGAGGCAGCAGUGGGGAAUAUUGCACAAUGGGGGAAACCCUGAUGCAGCCAUGCCGCGUGUGUGAAGAAGGCCUUCGGGUUGUAAAGCACUUUCAGUAGGGAGGAAGGUAGUGUAGUUAACACCUGCAUUAUUUGACGUUACCUACAGAAGAAGCACCGGCUAACUCCGUGCCAGCAGCCGCGGUAAUACGGAGGGUGCGAGCGUUAAUCGGAAUUACUGGGCGUAAAGCGCAUGCAGGCGGCCUGUUAAGUCAGAUGUGAAAGCCCGGGGUCUUAACCUCGGAAUUGCAUUUGAAACUGGCAGGCUAGAGUCUUGUAGAGGGGUUAGAAUUUCAGGUGUAGCGGUGAAAUGCGUAGAGAUCUGAAGGAAUACCGAGUGGCGAAGGCGGCCCCUGGACAAAGACUGACGCUCAGAUGCGAAAGCGUGGGAGCAAACAGGAUUAGAUACCCCGUGGUAGACUGUCA